This 374-nucleotide ribosomal RNA is filed under the name uncultured organism. Its description in RNAcentral is "partial 16S ribosomal RNA". It matches the Rfam family "Bacterial small subunit ribosomal RNA", at positions 527 to 896 of the family's 1533-position model. The record is from RNAcentral.
GUAGGUGGCAAGCGUUGUCCGGAAUUAUUGGGCGUAAAGCGCGCGCAGGUGGUUCUUUAAGUCUGAUGUGAAAGCCCCCGGCUCAACCGGGGAGGGUCAUUGGAAACUGGGGAACUUGAGUGCAGGAGAGGAAAGUGGAAUUCCACGUGUAGCGGUGAAAUGCGUAGAUAUGUGGAGGAACACCAGUGGCGAAGGCGACUUUCUGGCCUGUAACUGACACUGAGGCGCGAAAGCGUGGGGAGCAAACAGGAUCAGAUACCCUGGUAGUCCACGCCGUAAACGAUGAGUGCUAAGUGUUGGGGGGGGUUUCCGCCCCCUCAGUGCUGCAGCUAACGCAUUAAGCACUCCGCCUGGGGAGUACGGUCGCAAGACUG